RNAcentral lists this ribosomal RNA (464 nucleotides) under uncultured bacterium. RNAcentral's name for it is "partial 16S ribosomal RNA". It matches the Rfam family "Bacterial small subunit ribosomal RNA", at positions 28 to 507 of the family's 1533-position model. The record is from RNAcentral.
GACGAACGCUGGCGGCGUGCUUAACACAUGCAAGUCGAACGGUAAGGCCCUUUCGGGGGUACACGAGUGGCGAACGGGUGAGUAACACGUGGGUGAUCUGCCCUGCACUUUGGAAUAAGCCUGGGAAACUGGGUCUAAUACCGGAUAGGACUACGCGAUGCAUGUCGUGUGGUGGAAAGCUUUUGCGGUGUGGGAUGGGCCCGCGGCCUAUCAGCUUGUUGGUGGGGUGAUGGCCUACCAAGGCGACGACGGGUAGCCGGCCUGAGAGGGUGUCCGGCCACACUGGGACUGAGAUACGGCCCAGACUCCUACGGGAGGCAGCAGUGGGGAAUAUUGCACAAUGGGCGCAAGCCUGAUGCAGCGACGCCGCGUGGGGGAUGACGGCCUUCGGGUUGUAAACCCCUUUCAGCACAGACGAAGCGUAAGUGACGGUAUGUGCAGAAGAAGCACCGGCCAACUACGUG